UACAGAGGGGGCAAGCGUUGUUCGGAAUUACUGGGCGUAAAGCGUGUGUAGGCGGUCUCGCAAGUCGGAUGUGAAAGCCCCGGGCUCAACCCGGGAAGUGCACCCGAUACUGCAAGACUCGAGUACCGGAGAGGUUGGUGGAAUUCUCGGUGUAGAGGUGAAAUUCGUAGAUAUCGAGAGGAACACCGGUGGCGAAGGCGGCCAACUGGACGGAUACUGACGCUGAGACACGAAAGCGUGGGGAGCAAACAGG
RNAcentral lists this ribosomal RNA (253 nucleotides) under uncultured bacterium. Its description in RNAcentral is "partial 16S ribosomal RNA". It matches the Rfam family "Bacterial small subunit ribosomal RNA", at positions 524 to 776 of the family's 1533-position model. The record is from RNAcentral.